This 497-nucleotide ribosomal RNA is filed under the name uncultured bacterium. RNAcentral describes it as "partial 16S ribosomal RNA". It matches the Rfam family "Bacterial small subunit ribosomal RNA", at positions 28 to 507 of the family's 1533-position model. The record is from RNAcentral.
GAUGAACGCUGGCGGCGUGCCUAAUACAUGCAAGUCGAGCGAACAGACGAGGAGCUUGCUCCUCUGACGUUAGCGGCGGACGGGUGAGUAACACGUGGAUAACCUACCUAUAAGACUGGGAUAACUUCGGGAAACCGGAGCUAAUACCGGAUAAUAUAUUGAACCGCAUGGUUCAAUAGUGAAAGACGGUUUUGCUGUCACUUAUAGAUGGAUCCGCGCCGCAUUAGCUAGUUGGUAAGGUAACGGCUUACCAAGGCGACGAUGCGUAGCCGACCUGAGAGGGUGAUCGGCCACACUGGAACUGAGACACGGUCCAGACUCCUACGGGAGGCAGCAGUAGGGAAUCUUCCGCAAUGGGCGAAAGCCUGACGGAGCAACGCCGCGUGAGUGAUGAAGGCCUUCGGAUCGUAAAACUCUGUUAUUAGGGAAGAACAAAUGUGUAAGUACCUAGGCACGUCUUGACGGUACCUAAUCAGAAAGCCACGGCUAACUACGUG